Molecule: ribosomal RNA, 253 nt
Filed under: uncultured bacterium
Lineage: Bacteria
Description: partial 16S ribosomal RNA
Rfam family: Bacterial small subunit ribosomal RNA
Source: RNAcentral
UACGUAGGGUGCAAGCGUUAAUCGGAAUUACUGGGCGUAAAGCGUGCGCAGGCGGUGAUGUAAGACAGAUGUGAAAUCCCCGGGCUCAACCUGGGAACUGCCUUUGUGACUGCAUCGCUAGAGUACGGCAGAGGGGGAUGGAAUUCCGCGUGUAGCAGUGAAAUGCGUAGAUAUGCGGAGGAACACCGAUGGCGAAGGCAAUCCCCUGGGCCUGUACUGACGCUCAUGCACGAAAGCGUGGGGAGCAAACAGG